GAUGAACGCUGGCGGCGUGCCUAAUACAUGCAAGUCGAGCGAACGGACGAGAAGCUUGCUUUUCUGAUGUUAGCGGCGGACGGGUGAGUAACACGUGGAUAACCUACCUAUAAGACUGGGAUAACUUCGGGAAACCGGAGCUAAUACCGGAUAAUAUUUUGAACCGCAUGGUUCAAAAGUGAAAGACGGUCUUGCUGUCACUUAUAGAUGGAUCCGCGCUGCAUUAGCUAGUUGGUAAGGUAACGGCUUACCAAGGCAACGAUGCAUAGCCGACCUGAGAGGGUGAUCGGCCACACUGGAACUGAGACACGGACCAGACUCCUACGGGAGGCAGCAGUAGGGAAUCGUCCGCAAUGGGCGAAAGCCUGACGGAGCAACGCCGCGUGAGUGAUGAAGGUCUUCGGAUCGUAAAACUCUGUUAUUAGGUAAGAACAGAUUUGUAAGUAGCUGUGGACAUCUUGACGGUACCUAAUCAGAAAGCCACGGCUAACUACGUG
Molecule: ribosomal RNA, 497 nt
Filed under: uncultured bacterium
Lineage: Bacteria
Description: partial 16S ribosomal RNA
Rfam family: Bacterial small subunit ribosomal RNA
Source: RNAcentral